UAAAGUAGGCGUACGGGUGAGUAACACGUGGAUCAUCUACCUCUUAGUGGGGAAUAACUCUGGGAAACCGGAGCUAAUACCGCAUAAGCCUGGAAAGGGAAAGUCGCAAGACGCUGAGAGAGGAGUCCGCGGCCGAUUAGCUAGUUGGCAGGGUAAAAGCCUACCAAGGCAUUGAUCGGUAGCCGGCCUGAGAGGGCACACGGCCACACUGGCACUGAAACACGGGCCAG
Molecule: ribosomal RNA, 230 nt
Filed under: uncultured bacterium
Lineage: Bacteria
Description: partial 16S ribosomal RNA
Rfam family: Bacterial small subunit ribosomal RNA
Source: RNAcentral